Molecule: ribosomal RNA, 484 nt
Filed under: uncultured bacterium
Lineage: Bacteria
Description: bacterial SSU rRNA
Rfam family: Bacterial small subunit ribosomal RNA
Source: RNAcentral
GAUGAACGCUAGCGGCAGGCUUAAUACAUGCAAGUCAAGGGGGUAGCAAUACAACCGGCGCACGGGUGAGUAACGCGUACACAACAUACCAUAUACUGGGGUAUAGCUUUGGGAAACUGAAGGUAAUCCCCAUAACAUUGCGAGAGGGCAUCUGAUUGCAAUUAAAGUUUCGGCGGUAUAUGAUUGGUGUGCGUUUGAUUAGCUAGUUGGUAGGGUAACGGCCUGCCAAGGCGACGAUCAAUAGCUGGCGUGAGAGCGCGACCAGCCACACUGGAACUGAGACACGGUCCAGACUCCUACGGGAGGCAGCAGUAGGGAAUAUUGGACAAUGGAGGAAACUCUGAUCCAGCCAUGCCGCGUGAUAGAUGAAGGCCCUCUGGGUUGUAAAUAUCUUUUAUCUGGGAAGAAACAAUCUUAUUCUUAAGAUCUUGACGGUACCAGAGGAAUAAGCACCGGCUAAACUCCGUGCCAGCAGCCGCGGUAU